GACGAACGCUGGCGGCGUGCCUAAUACAUGCAAGUAGGACGCAGUUGCGAACGGAUGAGUAACGCGUAGGUAACUACCUAUUAGAGGGGGAUAACUAUUGGAAACGAUAGCUAAUACCGCAUACUAGUAGAUGGACCUGCGUUGUAUUAGCUAGUAGGUAGGGUAAUGGCCUACCUAGGCAACGAUACAUAGCCGAGCGUAGAGGGUGACCGGCCACACUGGGACUGUGACACGGCCCAGACCCCCACGGGAGGCAACAGUAGGGAAUCUUCGGGAAUGGGGGGAACCCAGACCGAGCAACGGCGCGUGAGUGAAGAAGGUUUUCGGAUCGUAAAGCUCUUUUGUUAAGGAAGCGGUACUUAACCAGAAAGGGACGGCUAACUACGUGCAAGCAGCCGCGGUAAUUC
Molecule: ribosomal RNA, 407 nt
Filed under: uncultured bacterium
Lineage: Bacteria
Description: partial 16S ribosomal RNA
Rfam family: Bacterial small subunit ribosomal RNA
Source: RNAcentral